UGGGGAAUCUUCCGCAAUGGACGAAAGUCUGACGGAGCAACGCCGCGUGAACGAUGACGGCCUUCGGGUUGUAAAGUUCUGUUAUACGGGACGAAUGGUACGACGGCCAAUACCCGUCGUAAGUGACGGUACCGUAAGAGAAAGCCACGGCUAACUACGUGCCAGCAGCCGCGGUAAUACGUAGGUGGCAAGCGUUGUCCGGAUUUAUUGGGCGUAAAGGGAACGCAGGCGGUCUUUUAAGUCUGAUGUGAAAGCCUUCGGCUUAACCGAAGUCGUGCAUUGGAAACUGGGAGACUUGAGUGCAGAAGAGGAGAGUGGAACUCCAUGUGUAGCGGUGAAAUGCGUAGAUAUAUGGAAGAACACCAGUGGCGAAAGCGGCUCUCUGGUCUGUAACUGACGCUGAGGUUCGAAAGCGUGGGUAGCAAACAGGAUUAGAUACCCUGGUAGUCCACGCUGUAAACGAUGAAUGCUAAGUGUUGGAGGGUUUCCGCCCUUCAGUGCUGCAGCUAACGCAUUAAGCAUUCCGCCUGGGGAGUACGACCGCAAGGUUG
This 551-nucleotide ribosomal RNA is filed under the name uncultured bacterium. RNAcentral's name for it is "bacterial SSU rRNA". It matches the Rfam family "Bacterial small subunit ribosomal RNA", at positions 355 to 896 of the family's 1533-position model. The record is from RNAcentral.